GACGAACGCUGGCGGCGUGCUUUACACAUGCAAGUCGAACGGUGAAGGUGGAGCUUGCUCCGCCGGAUCAGUGGCGAACGGGUGAGCAACACGUGGGCAACCUGCCCCUAACUUUGGGAUAACUACUCGAAAGAGUAGCUAAUACCGGAUACGAAGUCUGUAGGCAUCUACGGAUUUGGAAAGUUUUUCGGUUAGGGAUGGGCCCGCGGCCUAUCAGCUUGUUGGUGAGGUAGUGGCUCACCAAGGCGACGACGGGUAGCCGGCCUGAGAGGGCGACCGGCCACACUGGGACUGAGACACGGCCCAGACUCCUACGGGAGGCAGCAGUGGGGAAUAUUGCGCAAUGGGCGAAAGCCUGACUCAGCAACGCCGCGUGCGGGAUGAAGGCCUUCGGGUUGUAAACCGCUUUCAGCAGGGAAGAAGCGAAAGUGACGGUACCUGCAGAAGAAGCACCGGCUAACUACGUGCCAGCCGCCGCCGUAA
RNAcentral lists this ribosomal RNA (483 nucleotides) under uncultured bacterium. Its description in RNAcentral is "partial 16S ribosomal RNA". It matches the Rfam family "Bacterial small subunit ribosomal RNA", at positions 28 to 523 of the family's 1533-position model. The record is from RNAcentral.